RNAcentral lists this ribosomal RNA (292 nucleotides) under uncultured bacterium. RNAcentral's name for it is "partial 16S ribosomal RNA". It matches the Rfam family "Bacterial small subunit ribosomal RNA", at positions 505 to 796 of the family's 1533-position model. The record is from RNAcentral.
GUGCCAGCCGCCGCGGUAAUACGGAGGGUGCGAGCGUUAAUCGGAAUUACUGGGCGUAAAGGGUGCGUAGGCGGAAGCUUAAGUCUGAUGUGAAAGCCCCGGGCUUAACCUGGGAAUGGCAUUGGAAACUGGGUUUCUAGAGUGUGGUAGAGGAUAGUGGAAUUUCCAGUGUAGCGGUGAAAUGCGUAGAUAUUGGAAAGAACACCGAUGGCGAAGGCAGCGGUCUGGGCCAACACUGACGCUGAGGUACGAAAGCGUGGGGAGCAAACAGGAUUAGAAACCCUUGUAGUCC